ACGAAACACGGACGCAUCGAUCCUCGGGACAUCGCAGGAACGGUCGCCCACCUGACGUCGAGGGAGUUCGAACUCCCGACGCCGGUGGUCCCGAGGGGAGCGAGUGGCGAGACCGGCCGUGCAGGU
RNAcentral lists this non-coding RNA (126 nucleotides) under unclassified sequences. Its description in RNAcentral is "c-di-GMP sequence". It matches the Rfam family "c-di-GMP-II-GAG riboswitch aptamer". The record is from Rfam by way of RNAcentral.